AUUGAACGCUGGCGGCAGGCCUAACACAUGCAAGUCGAACGAGUGGCGGACGGGUGAGUAAUGUCUGGGAAACUGCCCGCUGGAGGGGGAUAACUACUGGAAACGGUAGCUAAUAACGCAUACCAUCGGAUGUGCCCAGAUGGGAUUAGCUAGUAGGUGGGGUAACGGCUCACCUAGGCGCCGCUCCCUAGCUGGUCUGAGAGGAUGACCAGCCACACGGGAAGUGAGACACGGGCCAGGCUCCCACGGGAGGCAGCGGUGGGGAAUAUUGCAAAAUGGGCGCAAGCCUGAGGCAGCCAUGUCGCGUGUAUGAAGAAGGCCAUGGGGUUGUAAAGUACUUGCAGCGAGGAGGCGUUACUCGCAGAAGAAGCACCUGCUAACUCCGUGCCAGCAGCCGCGGUAAUUC
This 406-nucleotide ribosomal RNA is filed under the name uncultured bacterium. RNAcentral's name for it is "partial 16S ribosomal RNA". It matches the Rfam family "Bacterial small subunit ribosomal RNA", at positions 29 to 526 of the family's 1533-position model. The record is from RNAcentral.